GAACUGCCAACACCCAAUACUGGAUGAAGGGUUGAAGACUGAAAAAAUUAUCUUUCACUUGGAAAUGAAAGAAGAUGAUGCCGCCUUAAGGUCUCAACAUAAAUACAUACCCAUUACUCAAUAUAUAUUCAUAGUAAAAUGAUUAUGAACAAUGUGCUAUAUGUAGAAAAAGCAAUUGUCGGAAAGGUAGGAAAACUACAAUGGUGCAGUUCAGGACAUUAAUUAACAGUUAACAGCAUGCCAUCAGAAGCCUUGAGGAGGGAAUGGAAUAUAGAAGCUGACCACCACCUAUCUCAUACGUUUUGCUGUCAAUGUCUAUGCCAAUUAAUUAUUCGUGAAGCACCAGCUGCUGCUUUUGCACCCUCAGCCACCCACCUGUCAAGUAAUACUUGGAUAAUUAUCAUCAUAAUUAAGAGUCUUAUGAUAGAUAUCACAAAUUCGAGAAAUAUAUAUAUAUAUAUAUAUAUAUAUAUAUAUAUAUAUAUAUAUAUAUAUAUAUNNNNNNNNNNNNNNNNNNNNNNNNNNNNNNNNNNNNNNNNNNNNNNNNNNNNNNNNNNNNNNNNNNNNNNNNNNNNNNNNNNNNNNNNNNNNNNNNNNNNUCCAAGACUAAAAAUAGCAACGAUGGAACCUGGUUCUACUUUGGCAGUGUUCCAAACCGCCCCAAGACCUAAAGUGACAAUAAAUGUUUACCAGAAUUUAUACGGUGCAAACAAAUACUAAUUAAUAUUUUUUACAAAUAUCAUCCUGCAUUUUCUACUGUACUGAAUAUAUUAGAAAAGCUAUUUAAUAUUCAUCCAGAACACCUAGAUAUCAUAAGCUCCACGCAAUCUUCAAGUUAUAAAAUUGCAAUUCACAAGCAAUACACUGAUUUUAAAAUUUUCACUAAAAAACUUGUAGAAACAAAACUGAAACACGUAUAAAUUUCAAAGGAGAUCACAUAAUAUAUAUAAAUCUAAUAAAAGAAGUAUAAAAAGAUACCAAAGUGUAAGACCCUAAAUGUCAUAAAUUAAAGACCGUAUCUAGUGCACAAGACUCUGGAAAUUAAAUUAAUAGCAGGAUAUACAACCUUAAUUCUAUUUACAGAGAGAUUGUUUCCAGAACUUGAACCAUGACUAAGCAUUCAAUAAUUGAACACUUAACCAUUGAGCCAGCCAAGCACGACCUUCAAUGUCAUAGGGGAGAAAAACAAAUCAGCUUACCAGUUGUUGGGACACCACAACCAAAGAAGGCACACUUUAUCCAAAGGAGCUUUUGGAUCAAUCUUCGCUACACUAACAUUUACAUCAUGGACAACAGUGUACUGACUAAAUGUUGAAGUUCCCAUCAAAUGAAAAACGACUCUUGCGCUCACUCAACAUGACUCCAACUCCAGUAGCUGCCCUAACUUUUCCACAGAGGUUGGUUUUCCCUGUGUUAACGCCAAGAUCUUCUGUCACGUCAACACGAUAAACACCAAAAGCUUGACGGCUUCGACCGUCGGGGGAUAGCUCAGGCGUGAGAGUCAGUAUCGGUGUUCACAAGGUUAACAAUGGAGGAUAAUAAUCUCUAGCGUAUUGAGAGAUAAAAUUAUCAGUUGGAAUGUGUUUGUACGUACCUCUUGCUUGAAGACUUCCUUGCUAGGUUAUACUACAUGACCCGGUUUACCGUGCCACUGACCCUCCUGACACUACCUACUGCAGGUAGCUUUUCUGUUAAUCUCAUCCCCUUUAUCCACCGCUGGUUGACUGUCCAAUCCUCAUUAAUGCGAUGCAGGAUAUCAAUCAGCCAUCACUAGUCAAAGUUUAAAUUGUCUAAUGGAUUGGUUCAAUAAUUCGGCCCAAGACUUUGUAAGACCCAAUCAAGAUAAUCCAAUGAAUUAGUCUAAUAUCAAGGCCCAAUAAUAAUGACCCAAGAGAAUAACCAAAUAAGUAGGCCCAAUCUAUUAGGCCCAGUAGGUGAAAUAUCAUGGCCCAACAUUGCCCCCCAAUCUUUUAUUAAAUAGGAUGUUUGAUGAAAGAGUAUAAAUGGCAUCGGUCCAGGGCAAAAGGAUUUAUAAUAAGAUCGAUAAAGGCCCAAAAUAUAGCUUACCUAAGCUCAUCUGAUGAACAUCAAAUAGCAACACAAAUGGUUCAUCUUUGCCGACCUCUACAAAAGUACCGACUGAAUCGCCUUUAACUACCGAAGCUCAAGCCAUAGAAUGAAAUACCGGUUCGGUAAUAGCGAGCGUCCGUGAUACCGAUGAUCAUCAGUUCGGACAUAGUUCCAUCAUGGACAUCGCUGCCCAUCAAUUCGAACUGAUUGACUAAUAAUGGUCAUUUGCAAGCAAACGCUAUCUUCGGGUGCCUCCAUCCCAAAUACAAAGAAGUCGAAGAGGAUGCCGAAGAGGGUACCGAAGAGAAUACCGCCCGAAGGGAUAACGCCAUUCUGAAGUCUGCGUUGGCGAAAGAAAGAAUCAAUCUUGACAUUGUUCUCUUCAACAAUGAAUGAAGGAUAUCGACAAGGUCAAAGAAGAACUAAAAACGACCAAGGCCACUCAUCGGGUCAUCACAAUGACGAAGAAGAAUGAAGAUCUGACCGAGUCCAAUCAGAGCUUGGCGAAGCAAAAUAACAAUAUCCAUGCUAAAGAAGCAAGAUAUCUAGCACAUCGUCAAAAGCUUGAAGAAGAGCUCAAAGAGCUUCGGGCCCUUAGGAACUUGGGUCCGCUACUGACCGAAGACCUUCUAAGGAAAUCCAGGCAGCAUACAGAAAAUCCGCCGAACUGAACGAUGAGAUCGUCCAUAUGUAUGCCGAAGGAUAUGAAAUCUGCCGAAGUAAAGGCAAGAAAAAGCUCGGGCCAAGGUAGAUCCAUCUCUUCUAGACUCUUCAGAUGGUGAUGAUGACGAUGAAUAAGCCCGAAGAUGACCUCCCCUAUACCUUUAACUGUAGAACUUUCUGUAAAAAUUCUAAACUCUUGUGAACAGUUAAUAUUAAUGAAAUAUCAACUUCAUGAUUUAUUACUUCUGGGUGAUCAUUUCUUGUCAAUAAUUCAGUGUCAAUCAACUUGAAAACUGUACAAGUGCCUCUUAACUUAAACUGUUAGUCAAUAAUCAAGUAAAUUAUAUAACAGUUAAGAACAAUAAUGAGAUAAUCCGAACUCAACACUUGAACAAAAUAAAGUAAUGCAUACUUAUCGUUACCGAAGUGUGUGACAGGUCAUGUGUGAGGUGAAUUCAGCUGAUUCUCCUUGCACCAUCAAGAUCUUGUUUUCCACUUGGGGUAGAACAAGUAUAUAAGGACAUUUGUUUACCAUGCGGGGUAAAACAAAGAAAUAAGGACCAUGGAAUUUGCUUACCACUCGCGGUAAGACAAAUUCAUAAGGACACUCCUGACAAAAAGGCUGCCAUCGAAUGGCCAGCGAGUCCGACCAUACCUCCUUACUUCGGUGCCUUUUGUUUACUACUCGUGGUAAAAGCAAUAUUAAAAGGACCAUGGAAUUUGUCUACCACGCAAGAUAUAACAAACCCAAAAGGACACUCCUGCCGAAAAUGCUGCCAUCGAAUGGCCAGCGAGUCCACCCCGUCCUCUUUACACCGAUGAAGUUUGCCUACCCCGAAGGGCAUGACAAAUUCAUAAGGACCACCUGCCAAAAAGGCUGCCAUCGAAUGGCCAGCGAGUCCCCCCCCCGUCCUCUUUACACCAAUGAUUUGUAGAUGAGCUACCGAAGUCUUUCUGUGCUGAAUGCCUUCGUGAAAUAGUGGCCAGUUCGGAUAAUGCAUCGGCAAUGGAGUUAUCACUGCGAUCGACCCCAUAAUAACUUGCUGCACUGAUGUCCGAAGUAUAAUAUCUGUCUGCACACAGUGUCCAUGAACUCUGCUUCUGCCGGAGUACUGCAACGGCUAUGUCGGACUCCUCAGCCGCUUUCCAUCUGAAUCUGCAGCUUUAGAUGGAUUUCCCCAAAGACAAGUACCCACAGGGCGGUGUGCCCUUAGUGGACUCUCGGGAGUGUGAUUUUUGGAUCCACUUCGGUGGAGAUUUUUGUCACUGUGGUGAGAAUACUCGAGGCAAAUUGCCUUAUUUGUAUUCUAAGGUGCAUACUCUCUGGAUCAGCUUCUUCGUCUGCUUCGACCAUAAUCUCGAGAACCGAUAGGGUAGAGGUACCCUCUUCGGAUGCUCAGGAGUAUGGUUCCUUGGUCUUCUUCGGUCAUGAGGAUCACCUUGAGACAUGUCUUCAAAGUGUAUAGACUGCUUUACUACGUCUUUCAGACUGGAUAUAAUUGGAUGCCUCGUCCUUCAGCUUUGCCAUCCGAAGCAUCUGCUCCAGCUUUGCCAUCUGAAGGAUCUGCACCAGCUCUGCCAUCCGAAGGACCUGCUCCCGCUAUGCCAUCCGAAGGACCUGCUCCCGCUCUGCCAUCCGAAGGACCUGCACAUAAUUGGACGCUUCGUCCUUCAGCUCGGCAAUCUGAAGCACAUGUUCAGCUAUAUCCUCGCUCUGCUUCAAGAGAACCUCCAAAGCUUUAACUGCUUCGUCCGCCAUCUUCGCCAGCUUGGCAGCCUUGUCGUCCUGAUCACUUCGGUGCCGAGUUCUAGGUGGGGUGUCUUCUACUCGCCUUCGGCCAUGAUCACGUUCCUUGUCAGCAGCAAAGACCAACCUCCUUCGGGCUUCACCACGGGCUCUCGAACGAGAACCCCCUGAAUCACGCUUGGAAGCCGUACUCUCAAGAGCACUUUUGAAAGGACCCAGACGAUCCUUAACUGAAACACGAGGCAAGGAUGAACUUACAGCCAUCGGUUGUCCCUCCGGUGUACUAGUUCUACUCUUCACCAUUUUUUCCGACGUAGAACAAAUGAAACUUUGUGAUUGAAAACUCAAGGACACUAUAACACAACCCUCCUUCUAGCGCCAAUGUUAACGCCAAGAUCUUCUGCCACGUCCCAAUCACGUAAGACGUCCUCAUCCUGCACAGUAAACAUGAUAAACACCAAAAGCUUGACGGCUUCGAACGUCGGGGGAUAGCUCAGGCGUGAGAGUCAGUAUCGGUGUUCACAAGGUUAACAAUGGAGGAUAAUAAUCUCUAGUGUAUUGAGAGAUAAAAUUAUCAGUUGGAAUGUGUUUGUACGUACCUCUUGCUUGAAGACUUCCUUGCUAGGUUAUACUACAUGACUCGGUUUACCGUGCCACUGACCCUCCUGACACUAUCUACUGCAGGUAGUUUUCCUGUUAAUCCCAUCCCCUUUAUCCACCGCUGGCCGACUGUCCAAUCCUCAUUAAUGCGAUGGAGGAUAUCAGUCAGCCAUCACCAGUCAAAGAUGUAGAUAUUUAAAUUGUCUAAUGGAUUGGUUCAAUAAUUCGGCCCAAGACUUUGUAAGACCCAAUCAAGAUAAUCCAAUGAAUUAGUCUAAUAUCAAGGCCCAAUAAUAAUGACACAAGAGAAUAACCAAAUAAGUAGAUCCAAUCCAUUAGGCCCAAUAGGUAAAAUAUCAUGGCCCAACACCCUGCAUUCUGCUUGGUAACAAGGUAUAUAUAACAUGGUCUCCAGGCUGAACUUCAGUCACUCCUCCACCAACACUUUCGACUAUUCUGCAUUUUUAAUAAGAAAUAUAAAAUCUCAACCAACAGUCACCUUAAUUCAUCAGCAAUGACUCCACACAAAUUUCAAGUACGUGAUUACAUACCCGGCAGGGAAAAAGACCCUCAGGAUUCUAUCAGAAAAUUAAGUACGAGCUUGAUCGAAUACUAAAACAUAGAGCGGUUAAGAUAUGGAAACUGCAAAAAUGAUUAAAGUGGAAAAGAGAAAGGGCCGAUCACAUAAAUCAUCCAUAUAAAUGCUAAAAGAACAUGCACAUUGAGGAGAUAUAUAAUAGAAUGGGAAAUGCCACAGUUCAGAAGAGCACAAUCCACUUGGUACCCACGAGUUAAACAACAAAAUUCCAGAUCAAUAUUUUCGAAAUACUCAGAAACUAGCAUCAGCUUAUUCAAUCCCCUAAAGAGUUUCAGUUAUUUCAUACGCCUAAAUUUAGCAAAUAUUAAAAUAUUUAUAAAAAAAAAAACCAUUUGAGCUAAAUAACCUAAACUAACACAAUUAAGUCUAGAAAUCAAAGAUUGUUAUAAAUCCGACCCAAUUUACAUGUAUAAUUAGCACACCAAUGUUCAUAUAUUCAUUAUUCACAGAUUCACAUAUUCAUUAGCACACCAAUGUUCAUAUUCACCGGCUUCAGCUUGAGUAGGAUUCACCUGUACGUCUUCGAUCACCAACGGUUUGUUUGGUUCAUAAGCAACCUCAGCUUUUUCGCCAUUAAUUUCAUCAAAACAUAUCACAAUCAAAUCCAACUUAAUUACAGAGGUUAGAGAAAGAGAUAUAAUUAAUAUAGUACCUUUGCAGGUGAUAACUUGACCUUGGGUAGCCAUGGAUUUGAUGUGAGAACCGCAAAAUGUAGACCGACAGAUGGAGAAGAAGUGGGAUUUUUUUAAUUUUGUAGAGAAACAACCAAAUCAAACUGUUUAUUAAUUAUAUAU
Molecule: long non-coding RNA, 6472 nt
Filed under: Panax ginseng (ginseng)
Lineage: Eukaryota; Viridiplantae; Streptophyta; Magnoliopsida; Apiales; Araliaceae
Description: long non-coding RNA (PGIN_LNC012680)
Source: RNAcentral